This 299-nucleotide small nuclear RNA is filed under the name Erinaceus europaeus (western European hedgehog). RNAcentral describes it as "7SK RNA". It matches the Rfam family "7SK RNA". From Rfam's summary of the family: 7SK was discovered as an abundant small nuclear RNA in the mid-70s but a possible function has only recently been suggested. Two independent studies have found that 7SK RNA binds the CDK9/cyclin T complex (known as elongation factor P-TEFb). P-TEFb activates transcription by phosphorylating the C-terminal domain of RNA polymerase II. The record is from Rfam by way of RNAcentral. Lineage: Eukaryota; Metazoa; Chordata; Mammalia; Eulipotyphla; Erinaceidae.
GGAUGUGAGGGCAAUGUAGUUGCUGCGACAUCUGUCACCCCACUGAUUGCCAAGGUUGAUUUGGCUGAUCUGGCUGGGUAGGUGAAUGUCCUGUUCCUCCUUCAUGGCUCCAUGUGCGUCCCUCCUGAAGCUGUGCGCUGGGUCGAAGAAGCCAGCCCGGUAGAGACAGACCAGUCUUAAUGAGGGUAUAUGAGUAGCUGUGCUCUCCUGCUAGGACCUCCAAACAAGCUCUCUGGUUUUUUUGUUUGUUUGUUUUGCCACCAGGGUUAUUGCUUGGUGCACCAGAGUUAGAGCUCGGU